This is a ribosomal RNA of Callithrix jacchus (white-tufted-ear marmoset), 119 nucleotides long. Lineage: Eukaryota; Metazoa; Chordata; Mammalia; Primates; Cebidae. The record is from Ensembl.
GUCUACGGCCAUACCACCCUGAACACGCCCAAUCUCGUCUGAUCUCAGAAGCUAAGCAGGCUCAGGUCUGGUUAGUACUUGGAUGGGAGACCACCUGGGAAUACCGAGUGCUGUAGGCU